Molecule: long non-coding RNA, 1934 nt
Organism: Lucilia cuprina (Australian sheep blowfly)
Lineage: Eukaryota; Metazoa; Arthropoda; Insecta; Diptera; Calliphoridae
Exons: 8
Source: RefSeq, a predicted model, not a curated record
AGUGAAAAUAAGUUAGUUUAAAAUGAAAUAAUGUAAUAAAUAUAUAAAGAAAAGUUUUAUAAAUAAGUAUGCAAUAAAAGAAAUAUCAAAAAGAGUCAUUUAAAAAAGAAAAAUUGUUUUCAAGUUAAAAAUUCCAACAAAAUUGUUCACCAUUUUGGUUUAAUGGAGCCUUCUUAAUGUUGUUGUUUUUGUAAAACUAUGUAUAAAAAUAUAAUAAAAAGUGUGUAUUUGGUUUAUUGGUUAAAAGAUUAGCAUAAUUAAAACUAUAUAAUGAUCAAAAUAUAAAACAAUUAAAUAGAAAGCUGUCUGUUUUAACAUUUGCUAAGGAGCCUCCUGCCAGUGUACUAACAAGUUAGUGCAGACAGGCAGCAAAACGAAGUGUUUUUUUAUUGGAAAUAUACAAACUGUGAUUAGGAAAUUCGUAAAGAGGACAACCAAAGCUGUUGCUGUUUCGUAGUUAAUAUAAAAAACAGGAGACCAUGCAUGAACAUGAACAGGCAUGCAUGCUUGACAGGCAUAAAAUGCUUUAGAAUUAACUCAAGGAUAAAGAGUGCAGAAAAAUUAGCUUUGGUAAAGGAACAAUUUUAUAUUUAACUUUUCAAAAGAAAAGAGGGCUUCGAAAUAAUUGCAUUUAAUGGCUUCCCACAAAUAGAAAAAUAACGGAAACAAUGGCUGUGAAACAAACAAAAGACAAUAAUGAUGACUUCACUUCCACUUCAACAAAACAGGCUUUUAACGCUAAUGGAAUCAGUUUAACAAACAUCAGUCAGAGUCAGUCAAUCAAUCAACAAAUCCAUCAUGAUGAUCAUCAAGAACGUCAUUUCUCUCCACACACACACACGCACACACAUUUUUCUUUCUGAGAAACUCAACAGAAAUUAUGUUGUCUGUAUAUAAAGAUAUACAUAUAUACAUAUGUAUGUAAGACAUUUAUAGUGGGAGUCUCUCUCUCUCUGUCUCUUGCAAAUAAAGUUAAAACAAGAGUACAUAAUUCUUUAGAAAAAAUAUCAUUUGCAGUAGAGUGACAAAACAUCACCCUAAAAGAAAUCAUUAUGAGGGUUUAGCUUGCAAUGCAAAAAAAAUAUAAAAAUAACAAAUACCAUCAUCAUUAUUAGCAACAUGAAGCUACAACAAGAUCAUCAGCAGAGACAGCAACAGCAACAACGUGAACAGUUAAAAAAACUAAAUUUAUGGAUUAUUUUUAUGUUGCAGAAUUACAACCGAGUCUAAGAUGCCAAUUGCGCACAUCUCAGAAAAAAUAUAAACUAACAAGAUCUAAACUGAUCACUUCAACAAAAAGCUUACAAAAGAGUACAUCCCUUCAAUCUUCUUCUUAAGAACGUAUAUAAUGGAUUUUACAAACCUGAUACUUAACUGUACAAAUAUUAAUUGCUUGGGACUUAGAUGUUUUUAAAUAUUAUGAAUACAAACUUAAAAUGUAAUAUGACAUUUAUUUAAAUAAAAUAGUUAAAAAAAGUGCAUUAAUUAUUUAUGGUUUUAUUAAAGUUUGUUUAAAUUACCAGAAAUAUGUUUAAAUUAGAAAAACGUUAAAUAAUUACUUAUAAAUUAGCAAAAGUCUGGCAAGCCUGUUAACACCUAAAAUCAGCGCCAUCUAUUGGUUGCCUAUUGGCUAUGUUUGCAUACGACAUGUCAGUCUGGCAAUAUUGGGUAAAAUUUUGCAUGGCACUAUGUAAAACAGUCUGGCAACUCUAUACAUUUUUAAAACUUUUGCAGAGUUGCCAGAUGAUUUUCUUUAGUGGCAUGCCGAUUGUGCGUCAAUAUUGCCAGACUGACAUGUUGUUUGCAGAAACAGCCAAUAGUCAACCAAUAGAUGGCGCUAAUUUUAUGUAUUGACAGGGUUGCCAGACUUUUCAAAAUUAACUUGUAUAUUGAAACGGUUUCUUUUCAUUUUAAAUAUUAUAAAGACUUGAAUA